CCUACGGGUGGCAGCAGUGAGGAAUAUUGGUCAAUGGACGCAAGUCUGAACCAGCCAUGCCGCGUGCAGGAAGACGGCUCUAUGAGUUGUAAACUGCUUUUGUACGAGGGUAAACGCAGAUACGCGUAUCUGUCUGAAAGUAUCGUACGAAUAAGUAUCGGCUAACUCCGUGCCAGCAGCCGCGGUAAUACGGAGGAUUCAAGCGUUAUCCGGAUUUAUUGGGUUUAAAGGGUGCGUAGGCGGUCGGAUAAGUUAGAGGUGAAAUCCCGAGGCUCAACUUCGGAAUUUCCUAUGAUACUUUUCGUCUAGAGAGUAGUUGAGGUAGGCGGAAUGUAUGGUGUAGCGGUGAAAUGCUUAGAGAUCAUACAGAACACCGAUUGCGAAGGCAGCUUACCAAGCUACUUCUGACGUUGAGGCACGAAAGCGUGGGGAGCAAACAGGAUUAGAUACCCGAGUAGUC
This 460-nucleotide ribosomal RNA is filed under the name uncultured bacterium. RNAcentral describes it as "partial 16S ribosomal RNA". It matches the Rfam family "Bacterial small subunit ribosomal RNA", at positions 338 to 795 of the family's 1533-position model. The record is from RNAcentral.